GAUGAACGCUGGCGGCGUGCCUAAUACAUGCAAGUCGAGCGAACAGACGAGGAGCUUGCUCCUCUGACGUUAGCGGCGGACGGGUGAGUAACACGUGGAUAACCUACCUAUAAGACUGGGAUAACUUCGGGAAACCGGAGCUAAUAACGGAUAAUAUAUUGAACCGCAUGGUUCAAUAGUGAAAGACGGUUUUGCUGUCACUUAUAGAUGGAUCCGCGCCGCAUUAGCUAGUUGGUAAGGUAACGGCUUACCAAGGCGACGAUGCGUAGCCGACCUGAGAGGGUGAUCGGCCACACUGGAACUGAGACACGGUCCAGACUCCUACGGGAGGCAGCAGUAGGGAAUCUUCCGCAAUGGGCGAAAGCCUGACGGAGCAACGCCGCGUGAGUGAUGAAGGUCUUCGGAUCGUAAAACUCUGUUAUUAGGGAAGAACAAAUGUGUAAGUAACUAUGCACGUCUUGACGGUACCUAAUCAGAAAGCCACGGCUAACUACGUG
RNAcentral lists this ribosomal RNA (497 nucleotides) under uncultured bacterium. Its description in RNAcentral is "partial 16S ribosomal RNA". It matches the Rfam family "Bacterial small subunit ribosomal RNA", at positions 28 to 507 of the family's 1533-position model. The record is from RNAcentral.